This 112-nucleotide ribosomal RNA is filed under the name uncultured bacterium. RNAcentral's name for it is "partial 16S ribosomal RNA". The record is from RNAcentral.
CAACGCCGCGUGAGGGACGAACGGCCUUCGGGUUGUAAAACCUCUUUUAGUUAGGGAAGAAGGCGAAAGUGACGGUACCGUCGCAAGAAAAAGCACCCGGCUAACUACGUGC